Long non-coding RNA from Alosa alosa (allis shad), 247 nucleotides. RefSeq lists it as uncharacterized. The record is from RefSeq and is a predicted model, not a curated record. The transcript is spliced from 3 exons. NCBI's taxonomy places the organism in Eukaryota, Metazoa, Chordata, Actinopteri, Clupeiformes, Clupeidae.
AAGCACCCAUCAGCCCAGCACUAAACUCCAAGCAAGAUUUGUGUUCUUUUCCAGUGUACAAAAACAGAUAGACGGGACAAUAAAAUAAAUGGAUUCUCACCUGGAACUUCAUCUGUUCUGCUCUCUGUGGAUCAACAACUUCAAUAUGCUGGUAGUGCCUCAGUGUCAUGAAAAAAGCCUCAUUUCCCCAGAGACCCACACUCUCACCUGGGGGUUUUCACUUUGCACUGCGGCGACGUAGUUCUCG